This 143-nucleotide ribosomal RNA is filed under the name Aeromonas caviae. RNAcentral describes it as "partial 23S ribosomal RNA". The stretch from base 1 to 123 matches the Rfam family "Bacterial large subunit ribosomal RNA", at positions 2808 to 2925 of the family's 2925-position model. The record is from RNAcentral. Lineage: Bacteria; Pseudomonadati; Pseudomonadota; Gammaproteobacteria; Aeromonadales; Aeromonadaceae.
GUCAUCCCUGACCCCUUGAGGGUCCUAAAGGGCCGUUGGAGACCACAACGUUGAUAGGUGGGGUGUGUAAGCGUAGCGAUACGUUGAGCUAACCCAUACUAAUUACCCGUGAGGCUUAACCAUACAACACCCAAGAAGUGUUC